AAUAAGUUUGAUUCUUGCUUAUUUAUUAAUUUAUUAGUUAAUUUAUAUGUUAAUUAUUAAAUACUUAUUUUUGCAGUAAAUAUAAUUGUCUAUUAAUUAUUAUUCAUUUGCAGUAAACUAAUUAUAAUAGAUAAAUAUUGUGCCAGCAUUCGCGGUUAUACAAUUUAUUAAAAUUAAUAUUUUAUUUAUUGUAAUUAUUUAGUUAAUUGAUUUUUAAAUAAGUUUUAUUUAGGUGGAAUUUAUAAUUUUUAUAAAAUCUAUAUUAAAGCUUAUUAAAUCAGUAUUUUAAACUAGGAUUAGAUACCCUAUUAUUAUUGUAUUUAAAUUUAUUUAAAUGAAUAUUAUUAGCUAUGUUCUAAAAAACUCAAAGAAUUUGGCGGUGAAUUAUAUCUUUUUAGAGGAACCUGUUUUUUAAUUGAUAAUCCACGAUAUUUUUUACCUAAAUUUUAUUUGUAUACCUCUAUAUUUGAAUGUUAUUUAAAUAUAUUUUAUUUAAUUUUAUUAAAUUAUUUUAGGUCAAGGUGCAGUUUUAUUUAGGUAGACAUGUGUUACUUUAAUAAUAAAUUUACUUAUUAAUUUUUAUCUAUAUUUAUGAUUUAAUUAAAAUAGGAUUUAAUAGUAAUUUUAUAUAAUUAUUUAUUUUGAAUUGAGUUUUAAUUCAUGUACAUAUCGCCCGUCGCUCUCUUUAAAAUGAGAUAAGUCGUAACAAAGUAGGUGUACCGGAAGGUGUAGCUAGAUAGUU
RNAcentral lists this non-coding RNA (742 nucleotides) under Sahlbergotettix salicicola. The record is from RNAcentral. Lineage: Eukaryota; Metazoa; Arthropoda; Insecta; Hemiptera; Cicadellidae.